GUUUCGUUGAAGGGCGUGUCUGUGGCGGCCCUACAAAUUUCGAUGCUUCGCCAUGAGAAAGGAAGUUGCUAUAACUCAGACAUACAAUGUCCAAUCUGCCCCAAACUUCACAUGUUUGAGAAGGCUCCUGACCUGAACAUAUCUACAUGCCCAUAUUCAGAUAUCGUUAUAGCGCCACCUGCUUGCAACAGGAAGUGACAUGUCUUAAGCUGUAACGAACUACUCCUAGAAAUUUUAUGACACUUUAUAAUUUUUUUUGGUCAGUCUAAUCUAAAGGCCUUUGCGAUGUUAAAUUGUGAACAUCUUGAGUUUUCAUUAAAGGGUGUGGCCAUGGCGCCAUGACAAAGUUCGAUGUCUCGCCAUGGGAAUAGAAGUUGUUGUAACUCAGGCAUAAGAUGUCCGAUCUUCCCCAAACUUCACAUGUUCGAAAAGAGUCUUGGCCUGAACACAUCUGAAGGUCAUUUUUCCACUAUAAUCAUAGCGCCACCUGCUGACAACAGAAAAUGGCUUGUUUUACACUAACUUAAACAUGCAAUGUCCAAUCUGCACCAAACUUCAGAUAUUUGAUAAGAAUCAUGGCCUGAAGAUAUCUAAAGGCCAAUGUUCA
Long non-coding RNA from Cyprinus carpio carpio, 607 nucleotides. The record is from Ensembl. Lineage: Eukaryota; Metazoa; Chordata; Actinopteri; Cypriniformes; Cyprinidae.